RNAcentral lists this long non-coding RNA (319 nucleotides) under Brassica napus (rape). Its description in RNAcentral is "long non-coding RNA (BNAP_LNC026449)". Lineage: Eukaryota; Viridiplantae; Streptophyta; Magnoliopsida; Brassicales; Brassicaceae. The record is from RNAcentral.
UGGGUGGAGUUUUCGAGUGAAGGGCAAAGCUCCAUUGUUGACCUUAUCAGAACUCCCAAUGGUGAAGCAAAGGAGCUGGAUGACAUGGUUUGCCCUCAUGUUUGUCUUCCUCCUUUUAUUUACCAUGCAUCUUUUGUAUCAUCCCCUGCUUGGUUAUUUGCUCCCCCAUAUGCCUCGUGCGCUGCAUCUUGAGGAGGAGGAGAAAGUUUGCGGAGGAGAUUGAAGAUUGGGAAACAGAAUUCGCUAAGAACCGAAUGAAGUUCAAGGACUUGUACUAUGCCACCAAAGGGUUCAAAGAUAAUGGCCUUCUUGGAAGAGG